UGCGCGCUUGAGCCGGAGCGGGGCUCGCCCCUCGUCGGCUCCCGCCGCCCAGCCGGUGAUCGCUCUCCGGCCGUCCCCGGCACCCUCGGCCCCCCACGGCGGUUGGUCCGGGCGGGGGAAGGAGAAAGUGAGACUCGGUGUCAUCACCAAUCCAUCGCCAGAAGGGGAGGAAACUGGAAUCCAGCAGCGGCGAGCAGCAGCUGGACGGAUUUAUUUAAUGGGGAUGUGUUCAAGGCAAGACCGAAUUCAGAAGGAUAUCGACGUCGUGAUCCAGAAGUCCAGAGCUGAGGACUGCCUGUUUGCAGGGCCCGCCUGGCAGGACGACUGAGCAAGUCCUUGGAAAACCAGAGAUAUUAGAGCGGUGAAUCGCGCUGGUCACGUUGGACACCUGCGCGUUAGGAGAUUCUGGAGCCAGAGGGAGAGACCCCAGAAACUCCCCGGUCGGCGACCCAGCCCGAGACGCCUGGGGUCCCAAGGGAAGCUGAACGCCCGGUGGGCUCCCGGGAUGGUUCUUCC
This 516-nucleotide long non-coding RNA is filed under the name Homo sapiens (human). RNAcentral's name for it is "non-protein coding lnc-PPIAL4C-4:15". Lineage: Eukaryota; Metazoa; Chordata; Mammalia; Primates; Hominidae. The record is from RNAcentral.